CUUUGGAAAGUGGUCAUGAGGUCUGCUUUUUCAAGAAUUGGACUCAUACCCUUAUAAAUGAGACCUCAGAGAACUUUCUCAUUCCUUCCACCAUAGGAGGACAUAGUGACAAGCAUCCUGAAUGUGAAGGAGGAAAUUGUCCAAGCCAGACACAGUAUUCUGCUGGCUCUUUGAACGAGGGCCUCCAUCUUCUAGAACUGCAAGGGUAGCUUGAAUGAUAAGUGACCACGGGGGGUAAAGUCAAGAGCUCAGAUACUUGAGGACAACUGAGGAAAAGAUGGUGGUGUUGUAUGGACCUCAUGAGGCCUGCUGCUGGAAAGUGUGGAGUCUUUAAGAAGGGGAUUGUGGGAUGUCACUUCCUCUUCUUUCUCUUCGGAGCCACAGGUGGAUUAGCAGUGGACUGACUCAUCUCAGAGCAGGAAGACACCUGCCACUCACUGACUCUGCUCCAUGGACUGCCAGCUCUGAGGGAUCUCUGCCCCUUGGCUUACCGGGCAUAAAGCAAAGGACUGCUGAGGAACACUCAGCUACGGUGGUUCCUUUAUCCAUCUGCCCCACUAGCACUUGAAUUGCCAACAGGAAACAACUGCCAAGAGGGAAACCAUGCUUCCAGGCAAAGGAAAUGCAUGGUCCUUGAGUCAGUGGAGCGCUGAGGAGAAGAGGAACCAGAUGUAGGCAAGAUGGCACCCACCACGCGUGCCUGCCAAUUGUUGGAGCUCAAGGCCUUUUGUCUUUGAGAGUGGAUUGUGAGUCAUGUGCCUGCUGCUAGAUGCCAGCUAAGCCCGCAGCACCAGUGGGGAAACAGUUAAGUCAAAUCUGUCUGGAUUCAGUCUAUAGACAUCUCCAAGCUGGAGCCACCGUUGCUGGAAGCAAAGAAGUCACGGUUUUUGAUACAGGAUUCCCCAAACCCUCAUGCUCCAUCUCACUCGCUGUAGGAAAGAGCUGUGUGAGAAAUCUUGAAGGCUGUGCCAACUGCUCAUGCGCCAGCUCAUUGCUCUGGGAGAGAAUCCAGCUGGUCCUGUCACUCACCUGCCCAGGAGUCCAGCCCUCCAGAAAAGCUGGUCUAUCUGAAGACAAGCGAAGGAGACUAGCCAAAUAAUUAUUCCCUCAAUGAGAAAAUGUCCGUGUCUUCCUCAAAGCAGUUUGCAGCUGUUUGCAGAGCUUCCAUGACGUGGCCCUGCUUGGAGUCUGUUUGCUUUUCUGAGUUACUGGGAAAGGUGUAGUUUUUUUUUUUUUUUUUUUUUUUUCCAUUUCUUUUCGAUACUGAUCAAAACCUGAGCAUGAUUUCCCUGCACUCUGGGCUUUCUUGUUUAUUUUCUAAGCUCCCCACACCUUCCUUUAUGUAUACCUGUGUCUGCCACACAGCUGUUGGUCAACCUCUGGCACUGAAUCUGCCAGCUUUCCUUGGCUCUAAGUCCCAAACCAGGGCUUCUCUCGUCCUUCCCUUCUUUCUCUUUCUGGUAGUUGCAGAAAUUUACACCUUGCCUACCCUAUUCCUAUUUUUUUCAAGCUCAUAAAACUGUCCCAAGAGUCCUCAGUUUCUAAAUUCUUUUUAUCAAUGAAACUAAGAGCACUAAAGAAUGGGCCCUAAGUCUCCUGGUAGCAACAUGGUCUAGUGCCGCCAGGGCAAAAGGGCUCUGUGUCCCCCCUCUGCACCAUGAGUCUAUGUCUGCCGCUCCUUCACACUUUUCCCAGGACCUUUCCUCUACAGCACUGUCCAUGAAAUCUGGAGCUAUUAUGUACUUUGAGGCUGGUUGGGCUUGUCCAAGU
Long non-coding RNA from Mus musculus (house mouse), 1770 nucleotides. RefSeq annotates it as predicted gene, 30235. Lineage: Eukaryota; Metazoa; Chordata; Mammalia; Rodentia; Muridae. The transcript has 5 exons. The record is from RefSeq and is a predicted model, not a curated record.